This 485-nucleotide ribosomal RNA is filed under the name uncultured bacterium. Its description in RNAcentral is "partial 16S ribosomal RNA". It matches the Rfam family "Bacterial small subunit ribosomal RNA", at positions 30 to 507 of the family's 1533-position model. The record is from RNAcentral.
UUGAACGCUGGCGGCAUGCCUUACCCAUGCAAGUCGAACGGCAGCACGGGUGCUUGCCCCUGGUGGCGAGUGGCGAACGGGUGAGUAAUACAUCGGAACAUGUCCUGUAGUGGGGGAUAGCCCGGCGAAAGCCGGAUUAAUACCGCAUACGAUCUACGGAUGAAAGCGGGGGACCUUCGGGCCUCGCGCUAUAGGGUUGGCCGAUGGCUGAUUAGCUAGUUGGUGGGGUAAAGGCCUACCAAGGCGACGAUCAGUAGCUGGUCUGAGAGGACGACCAGCCACACUGGGACUGAGACACGGCCCAGACUCCUACGGGAGGCAGCAGUGGGGAAUUUUGGACAAUGGGCGAAAGCCUGAUCCAGCAAUGCCGCGUGUGUGAAGAAGGCCUUCGGGUUGUAAAGCACUUUUGUCCGGAAAGAAAUCCUUGGCCCUAAUACGGUCGGGGGAUGACGGUACCGGAAGAAUAAGCACCGGCUAACUACGUG